Molecule: non-coding RNA, 73 nt
Organism: Datura stramonium (jimsonweed)
Lineage: Eukaryota; Viridiplantae; Streptophyta; Magnoliopsida; Solanales; Solanaceae
Source: the annotation of a GenBank genome assembly
AUCUACUUAACUCAAUGGUUAGAGCACUACUUUCAUAUAGUGGGAGUCAUUUGUUCAAAUCCAAUAGUAGGUA